CAGCCGCCGCGGUAAAACGAAGGGGGCUAGCGUUGUUCGGAAUUACUGGGCGUAAAGCGCACGUAGGCGGAUAUUUAAGUCAGGGGUGAAAUCCCGCAGCUCAACUGCGGAACUGCCUUUGAUACUGGGUAUCUUGAGUAUGGAAGAGGUUAGUGGAAUUGCGAGUGUAGAGGUGAAAUUCGUAGAUAUUCGCAGGAACACCAGUGGCGAAGGCGGCUAACUGGUCCAUAACUGACGCUGAGGUGCGAAAGCGUGGGGAGCAAACAGGAUUAGAUACCCCAGUAGUCCCUGUCUCUUAUAC
RNAcentral lists this ribosomal RNA (301 nucleotides) under uncultured bacterium. RNAcentral describes it as "partial 16S ribosomal RNA". It matches the Rfam family "Bacterial small subunit ribosomal RNA", at positions 509 to 807 of the family's 1533-position model. The record is from RNAcentral.